CUACGGGGCGCUCCAGUGAGGAAUAUUGCACAAUGGGGGGAACCCUGAUGCAGCAACGCCGCGUGGAGGAUGACGCAUUUCGGUGUGUAAACUCCUUUUAUAUGUCAAGAAAAUGACGGUAGCAUAUGAAUAAGCACCGGCUAACUCCGUGCCAGCAGCCGCGGUAAUACGGAGGCGGUGCAAGCGUUACUCGGAAUCACUGGGCGUAAAGGACGCGUAGGCGGGUUGGAAAGUCAGGUGUGAAAUCCUACAGCUUAACUGUAGAACUGCACUUGAAACUUCUAAUCUAGAGUAUGGGAGGGGGAGAUGGAAUUAGUGGUGUAGGGGUAAAAUCCGUAGAUAUCACUAGGAAUACCUAAAGCGAAGGCGAUCUCCUGGAACAUUACUGACGCUAAGGCGUGAAAGCGUGGGGAGCAAACAGGAUUAGAUACCCGGGUAGUC
This 441-nucleotide ribosomal RNA is filed under the name uncultured bacterium. RNAcentral describes it as "partial 16S ribosomal RNA". It matches the Rfam family "Bacterial small subunit ribosomal RNA", at positions 339 to 795 of the family's 1533-position model. The record is from RNAcentral.